RNAcentral lists this long non-coding RNA (324 nucleotides) under Anas platyrhynchos platyrhynchos (common mallard). Its description in RNAcentral is "lncRNA (ENSAPLG00000022290.1)". Lineage: Eukaryota; Metazoa; Chordata; Aves; Anseriformes; Anatidae. The record is from RNAcentral.
GGAGUGACAGCCUCAUAAGACCAGGAGGAUACCGCUUGUGAUAUCAUCUCUGUUUGUGACCAUUGUUUCUCAUUGUGGGAUAUACAGCUUCAUUUCUGUAAAGAUUCGGUCUCACAUACCACAGAGGACACAGACCUUGGUCCCCUUGGAGCACCAUCAGGACAAGAGGCUCUCACUUUCUUUGAUGCACAGUAACACAGCUUUAGACGUGGAAUGAUGGACCUGCGGUCUGCUUCAUGACAUAGAUACUAGUAAACCUAUCUACUCAAAGUAUGUUUGUAAUAGAUCCUAUUAUUUUAAAUAAAUAAAUAAAUAAAUAAAUCA